Molecule: long non-coding RNA, 3022 nt
Organism: Equus caballus (horse)
Lineage: Eukaryota; Metazoa; Chordata; Mammalia; Perissodactyla; Equidae
Source: RefSeq, a predicted model, not a curated record
ACUAGCACUUGAAGCACUGAGCCACCAUGGAAGAAGUCUGACUACCUUGAGGCCUAAUGUUGAGGAGGCCACACAUAGGUCCUCUGGUCAACAGUCCCAGCUGAAUCUGUCCUUCGGCAUUGCCCCCCAGGCGCCAGACAUGCAAGUAAAGAAGCGCCUUAGGAGUGUAUCUUCCAACUCCAGCUGUUCCAGUCCCAGCCAUUCAAGUCAUCCCAGCUCUAAAUAUCACAGGACAGAGAAAACCCAACCCUGCUAUCCUCUGUCUGAAUUCCUGACCCACAGAAUUUGGCAGAGGAAAAGGACAAAUGCCAGAGCGACAGAAUUUUCUACAGCCUUUCCGACUCUACUGUCUGCCACACAGCACUUCUGACCAGCCAAGUACAUGCAAGCAACCCUUGAGAGACCUCAGAGCAAAGCGGUUCAGACGUGUGUCUGACGGCCAGGAGAAAGAUGGCGGCCAGAGUUCUACAUUUGGAAGUUAACAGCAGACCGGUUGAUUUAAAAUCUGUGAGAACAGAAGAAAAUGCCCAAUGAUUGUGCGGGUAGGAGAACCUAAAACAAACGUGGUGGACAGAAACGCUAAAGCAGCCGGCAGGGUAGGAAGGGGAGUAGGGGGAACUCACAAAAGGGCACCCAAAGAAGGGCCCAGUGUAGAAACCAUCAGUAACCUUUUCCCAAGAGGUUUUAGGGGAGAGUGGAGACAGAAUUCAGACUGCAGUGAGUUUCAAAGAGAAGUUGGACUGAAGACACAUAGAGCAGUGAUCAUUGAUAAUCCUUUUAAGGAGAUUGGCGGGGAAGGAAAAGCGUCCAGACAGGCUUGGCAGCCUUAAUUGCUCCCUCUCCACCCUUGGGCAAGGCUGCAUGCCCCCUAUAAAUGGAGUGUGGACUCUAGGUAUGCGGACCUUGAGAAAUCUCUUUGCUCUGGCUCCCAUCCAAUUUCCUGAAACUUUCGGCUCUAUCUUCCUAUCCCUUCCUUAACCCCCGUCUGUUUUUUCCCUCUCUGCCCAGUAUGUUUUGGAUUGACACUGUGUUUGACUGUCUCUUUGGUUCUCACCCUUUUUCCUGAGACACUGCCCUCAGUUCCUUUUUUAUUCUGUGUCCUGAGGCUCUAGUCCAGCCCCUCCCUAUCUGGGCACCUAGACCCCAACUCCUGGCCUCCCUGAGCCUCCUAGUUUGGAGCAGAAGUGGUUCAGAAGCAGAGAGAUAGAUGCAAGAUAGAGGAGGAUAGAGUCAAGGAAGGAGGUGUCAGUUGGUUGUACUCUCACAGAGACUGGUCAAAGGGAAAGAACCAGCGGGGUGGGGUGGGGUCGGGGGGUGGGGGUAAAUGCAGCAGUGGGGGGUAAAUGUAGGAGAGGGGAGGAAAAGCUGCAGGGGCAAGUUUCCUGAGUGAGUGGGAUGGGGUUAAGGAGAUAAGUGGAGGUCUUGACCAGAGGAGGGAAACCUUCAGCCUCUGAGAUAAUAGAGAAGGAGAAGACAAUGAGGGUGGGUGCAGUUACGCUUGUAGGAGGUAAGGGUUUCGCUGAGAGAGGUGUGGAGGUGGGCAACAGGUUUGAACUUGUGAAGAUUUGCAUGGUCGCUCAGGGAAAAGGAAGAGUAAACUAAGCAAGGAGCAGGAUUUUGAGUUUCACUGUGAGACCAGUGGAAGCUGGAGACCCAGCACUUGUAGUGGUGCCUGUUGUACCGUGUGUCAUUUUCUCCAAAAGAGUGUUAGCCCAUGCAGACAAUCUUUCAUGAGCCAGGCUGACCAUCAGUCCUGGGGAUUAAGGUCAGUAUUCCCUGGACCUGCCUUGGUUCCUGCCUAAGGGUCAGAUGCACUGUCCUUAGGACUCUGGAGGAAUCAAUGGAAGAACCUUAAUGUCCCUCCAACUCAUCUCUUGUCUUUAUGAAAGGAAGACAAUGCUCUGCAGGCAACACAGAUGAAUUUGACAGGAGAAUAGUAAACCAUGUGGUUUACUGCAUGCUGGUCCUGCCCUAAUUGAGCCCUAAUGAGACCGAGCCUGCUUAGGGGGAUCCCUGCUACAACUGGAAAUUCUCAUGGCUCUUGCAGCCCAUUUUCCAAUAGAGACUGAGCAUGUGGCCUUCCUUGUCUUUGCCACUCAGAACGGGGAGUAACCUGGGUAAGAACUAUGAGUGAUUCUGAGGCAGGCUGUGCUCCAUGGAUGAAGUUUGAUCCAGGUGGAGGGUACCACCUGGGCCAUUCACAAGCUCCAGCAGGGUCACGAUCUUGUCAACCACUUUGCAACUGGGCUCCAGAUCCUGGCCCCUGAGCUGGCUGGACAGCGCUGCUCUGGGUAUCAUUUCCAACAGCCUGGCUGGGCCCUCCACGAUGAACUGUCUGAGGUUGCUCAGGGGCUAAAGGCAUAGCUGCUGCUGUUCUCUGUAAUGGAGAAUCGCUCUGCACAAGAGAGCUCUGCCAGGGAACCCCUCCUCCACCACCAGGAAAUGACGUGUUCCCUCAGCUGGGAGGGAAGCCAGCUAGGACUGAAGGGAUCUCCCCUCCUUUCCUUGCCAGUCCUACCUUCCUAGGAACGUUCUGGCACCCCUAUGGCUACAGGGAGCCAAAGCUCCCUUGUAGCCGAGGCCCUUAAAGUCACAAGGUUCCAAAUGCAAACGACAAAAAAAUAUGAGCCAAACAUCCACACAUUCCCAAACAAAGUGCUAGACCACCUGUGCAGAGCCUGCUGACCUGGCCAUCACCCUUCUCUACCCUGUAGAAGAGUGAAGAGGAAGAAGCUGGCGGAGGACUGACGCAGAGACAGUGCAUGGUGUGACGUGCAUCCUGCCUCAUCCAUGUUGGCUGCGGAGUGGGGGUUUCCUCCUCACCAAGAGGAAGGGGCUUCAAGGGAACUCCCAGCCAGUUUGACACCUCCUCAUGGCUGGCUAACUAAUUUGUGGGGCCCAGUGCAAAAUGCAAAUGUGGGGCCCCUUGUUCAAAAAGCAAGAAAAAAAAAUGGAAUUAAAAGUACCAAAUUAUUAAAAAAAAUAAAUAAAAGUGGGCUGUACACUUGCUCCCAGAAACAAA